CCGACGGUGAGGGGUGAAAGCUGGGGGCACGAACCGGAUUAGAUACCCGGGUAGUCCCAGCCGUAAACGAUGCUCGCUAGGUGUCAGGCAUGGCGCGACCGUGUCUGGUGCCGCAGGGAAGCCGUGAAGCGAGCCACCUGGGAAGUACGGCCGCAAGGCUGAAACUUAAAGGAAUUGGCGGGGGAGCACAACAACGGGUGGAGCCUGCGGUUUAAUUGGACUCAACGCCGGACAACUCACCGGGGGCGACAGCAAUAUGUAGGCCAAGCUGAAGACUUUGCCUGAAUCACUGAGAGGAGGUGCAUGGCCGUCGCCAGUUCGUACUG
This 326-nucleotide ribosomal RNA is filed under the name uncultured archaeon. RNAcentral's name for it is "bacterial SSU rRNA". It matches the Rfam family "Archaeal small subunit ribosomal RNA", at positions 691 to 1016 of the family's 1478-position model. The record is from RNAcentral.